This 253-nucleotide ribosomal RNA is filed under the name uncultured bacterium. Its description in RNAcentral is "partial 16S ribosomal RNA". It matches the Rfam family "Bacterial small subunit ribosomal RNA", at positions 524 to 776 of the family's 1533-position model. The record is from RNAcentral.
UACGUAGGGUGCGAGCGUUGUCCGGAAUUAUUGGGCGUAAAGAGCUCGUAGGCGGUCUGUCGCGUCGAUCGUGAAAACUUGGGGCUUAACCCUGGGCUGGCUUCCGAUACGGGCAGACUAGAGGUAUGCAGGGGAGAACGGAAUUCCUGGUGUAGCGGUGAAAUGCGCAGAUAUCAGGAGGAACAUCGGUGGCGAAGGCGGUUCUCUGGGCAUUACCUGACGCUGAGGAGCGAAAGUGUGGGGAGCGAACAGG